AUGAUAGAAGAGUUGGAAGCACUGAGAAAAAACAAGACGUGGGUGCUAACCACGUUGCCAGCAGAAAAGAAAGCAGUGAGUUGUAAGUGGAUCUAUACAGUGAAGCAGAAUCCUGAGGGGAAGGUGGAACGGUACAAGGCUAGAUUGGUCGCCAGAGGAUAUAGUCAAACUUAUGGAAUUGACUAUGAUGAAACAUUUGCUCCCGUGGCAAAGAUGAACACAGUAAGGAUAUUGGUCUCAUGUGCUGCAAACUUUGGGUGGAAGUUGCAUCAAUUAGAUGUCAAGAAUGCCUUCUUGCAUGGUGAGUUGCAGGAAGAAGUGUACAUGGAGAUACCACCAGGUUUUGGUACUUCAGAGACCACGGGGAAGGUAUGCAGGCUGAAGAAAUCCUUGUAUGGACUGAAGCAAUCACCAAGGGCAUGGUUUGAUAGGUUCAGACGUGCCAUCCGUGGUAUGGGGUAUGGUCAGUGUAACGGUGACCACACGAUGUUCUACAGGCACUCCGAUCGGAAGAUCACCAUCCUUGCUGUUUAUGUGGAUGACAUUAUCAUCACUGGAGAUGAUAAGGAGGAAUACAGAGAUUGA
This 585-nucleotide ribosomal RNA is filed under the name Triticum aestivum (bread wheat). RNAcentral describes it as "partial small subunit ribosomal RNA". The record is from RNAcentral. Lineage: Eukaryota; Viridiplantae; Streptophyta; Magnoliopsida; Poales; Poaceae.